Molecule: small RNA, 261 nt
Filed under: Drosophila willistoni
Lineage: Eukaryota; Metazoa; Arthropoda; Insecta; Diptera; Drosophilidae
Description: GK26960
Source: RNAcentral
UAAGGGCCUAGAAGUUUUAGAGUGCGUCAUUGCGGCUGAGUGGUCUUCAUUGGAGUAGCAGGUUUAGGUUUUCUAAUUGGGCGAGCAGCGGGCCAACGUCUGGGAUGCGGGAGAUCCAGAUGUCCGGAAUCCUCUCGCUUCGAUGACCGCUGUGAUCAGAAGCAGAACGGCCGUCAUUUACGGAUUGCUCGUCUCUCCUCUCACCUUGGUUGCACGUCGCAAUGGAGCUAGUCGUAGUAUUUAAUUUUAUUUUUGACUCUG